UCUCNGUAGGUGAACCUGCGGAGGGAUCAUUUCUGAGUGAGGGUCUCCGGGCCCGACCUCCAACCCUUUUGUGAACCACCUCGUUGCUUCGGGGGCGACCCUGCCGUUCGCGGCGUGGGGCCCCCGGGGUCAAUNAAACACUGCAUUCUCUGCGUCGGAGUAUUAGUAAAUCUAAUCAAAACUUUCAACAACGGAUCUCUUGGUUCUGGCAUCGAUGAAGAANGCAGC
Molecule: unclassified non-coding RNA, 228 nt
Filed under: uncultured fungus
Lineage: Eukaryota; Fungi
Description: sequence contains ITS1, 5.8S rRNA gene
Rfam family: 5.8S ribosomal RNA (bases 180-228)
Source: RNAcentral